RNAcentral lists this long non-coding RNA (238 nucleotides) under Elaeis guineensis (African oil palm). RNAcentral describes it as "long non-coding RNA (EGUI_LNC002393)". The record is from RNAcentral. Lineage: Eukaryota; Viridiplantae; Streptophyta; Magnoliopsida; Arecales; Arecaceae.
AAUGGGUAAGACUUGCCAAAAGUGGACGGACUGAUGGCUUCACUAACCGGAUGCAAUCGAUUCGGAUCGAAUUGAAUAAUUAAAAUUUUAAAUUUAAAUUAAUUUAAAAUAUUUGAAUUUAAAAUUUGAUUCGAGAUCGAUUGGAUCUUAAUAUAUGAGUUUAAUUUUAUAAAAAAUAGAUAAAAUUCAAGAUCGAUUCAAUUUCGAUUUGAAUAUCAAUCAAACUGUAUUUAAACUC